Molecule: ribosomal RNA, 253 nt
Filed under: uncultured bacterium
Lineage: Bacteria
Description: partial 16S ribosomal RNA
Rfam family: Bacterial small subunit ribosomal RNA
Source: RNAcentral
UACGGGGGGGGCGAGCGUUGUUCGGAAUUACUGGGCGUAAAGGGUUUGUAGGUGGUCUGCUAAGUCAGACGUGAAAUCCCUCAGCUUAACUGGGGAACUGCGUCUGAUACUGGCGGACUUGAGGACAGGAGAGGAACGCGGAAUUCCAGGUGUAGCGGUGAAAUGCGUAGAUAUCAGGAGGAACACCAAUGGCGAAGGCAGCUCGCUGGGACGUGACUGACGCUGAGACGCGAAAGCGUGGGGAGCAAACAGG